This 243-nucleotide long non-coding RNA is filed under the name Capra hircus (goat). RNAcentral describes it as "lncRNA (ENSCHIG00010027274.1)". Lineage: Eukaryota; Metazoa; Chordata; Mammalia; Artiodactyla; Bovidae. The record is from RNAcentral.
AGGGGUUAAGAAAACCUAAAUGAAUGGUUUAAUAGGUAUCUGUCCCCCGCAAAUUGUGAUUGUCACACCCUGGCCAAACUGAGGCCACAGGGAACUUCGUUCAGUGGAACUUGUGCCAAAGGUACUGCAAGGAGAAGGAAUAAGUAAGUAGGAGCCGUUGUUCACCCUCCAGCUCGCUUAUAGUUUACCAAUACCUGUGCCCUUAUGGCGAGUUCUCUGUGGUCAUUUGCAGUAGGGAAUAUA